UAUCCUUGACAUGGAAAAAGAUGAGUUGGCUCCUGAGAUAGAAGAGGAAGAAGAAGGCAAGAUAGAGUAUGUUGAAGGUGAUGAUAUCGAGAUGGGUGACAUGGAUGAUAUGGAAGAUUUUGAAGGCUUUGGUGAUGAAGAUGGUGGAAGAAGACGAGGACAGGGGUAGCAGGCAAAGGACACGAAUGUGAUUCUCCAGGCACGGCUUCAGUAACAUGCUUGGUGUCGAUGAUGUUGUACUUUAGAUAA
Hordeum vulgare subsp. vulgare (domesticated barley) is the source of this 249-nucleotide long non-coding RNA. RefSeq lists it as uncharacterized. The transcript has 3 exons. Lineage: Eukaryota; Viridiplantae; Streptophyta; Magnoliopsida; Poales; Poaceae. The record is from RefSeq and is a predicted model, not a curated record.